RNAcentral lists this ribosomal RNA (111 nucleotides) under Bacillus amyloliquefaciens. RNAcentral also lists the same sequence under 7 other names. Lineage: Bacteria; Bacillati; Bacillota; Bacilli; Caryophanales; Bacillaceae. The record is from RNAcentral.
UGGUGAUGAUGGCGAAGAGGUCACACCCGUUCCCAUGCCGAACACGGAAGUUAAGCUCUUCAGCGCCGAUGGUAGUCGGGGGUUUCCCCCUGUGAGAGUAGGACAUCGCCA